RNAcentral lists this ribosomal RNA (278 nucleotides) under uncultured bacterium. Its description in RNAcentral is "partial 16S ribosomal RNA". It matches the Rfam family "Bacterial small subunit ribosomal RNA", at positions 29 to 334 of the family's 1533-position model. The record is from RNAcentral.
AACGAACGCUGGCGGCAGGCCUAACACAUGCAAGUCGAACGCUCUCUUCGGAGGGAGUGGCAGACGGGUGAGUAACACGUGGGAAUCUACCCAGUACUGCGGAAUAACACAGAGAAAUUUGUGCUAAUACCGCAUACGCCCUCAGGGGGAAAGAUUUAUCGGUAUUGGAUGAGCCCGCGUUUGAUUAGCUAGUUGGUGUGGUAAUGGCGCACCAAGGCGACGAUCAAUAGCUGGUCUGAGAGGAUGAUCAGCCACACUGGGACUGAGACACGGCCCAG